CCUACGGGUGGCAGCAGUGAGGAAUAUUGGUCAAUGGUCGGAAGCCUGAACCAGCCAAGUAGCGUGCGGGAUGAAGGCCCUAUGGGUUGUAAACCGCUUUUGCACGGGGAUAAAAUCCUCCACGUGUGAAGUUCUGCAGGUACCGUGCGAAUAAGGGCCGGCUAAUUCCGUGCCAGCAGCCGCGGUAAUACGGAAGGGCCGAGCGUUAUCCGGAUUCAUUGGGGUUAAAGGGAGCGUAGGCGGGGCGUUAAGCUCGCGGGUAAAUCCCGUGGCUCAACCAGGGCACCGCAGUGGAAACUGGCCGCCUUGAGUUCACAACAGGCAGGCGGAAUUCGUGGUGUAGCGGUGAAAUGCAUAGAUAUCACGAGGAACCCCGAUUGCGAAGGCAGCCUGCGGGAGCGCGACUGACGCUGAGGCUCGAAGGUGCGGGUAUCAAACAGGAUUAGAUACCCUAGUAGUC
RNAcentral lists this ribosomal RNA (460 nucleotides) under uncultured bacterium. RNAcentral describes it as "partial 16S ribosomal RNA". It matches the Rfam family "Bacterial small subunit ribosomal RNA", at positions 338 to 795 of the family's 1533-position model. The record is from RNAcentral.